This is a non-coding RNA of Coturnix japonica (Japanese quail), 718 nucleotides long. The record is from RefSeq and is a predicted model, not a curated record. Lineage: Eukaryota; Metazoa; Chordata; Aves; Galliformes; Phasianidae.
GAAAGGACCCCGCCAGCCCUGGGAGCACAGGUGAAAGCAAUUCAGCUGUGUGAUUGGAAGCAGUGGAGCCUUGCUGCACCUCUCUUAGACCUCAUUUAAGGGCUGAUUGUGAUUGUGGUAGGUUUUUUUUCCUGGAGAUCCCCCUUGAUGAAGCUUUCCUCUGAGAUCUUCUGAUAUAGUUGUUGUCAGUGUCUCCUCCAGAAGACAUCACUUACAGUCUCUAUGCCCUGUGGAAUUCUGGAGAGUGCCUGCUUUCAUUGGAGUCUUCACAAAGCACACACAACAGGAUGGGAAAAGCUACUGAUCCACAUCUCCCAUUUUAACCUGGCAAUUUGGAUGCUUUCUUCAAAACACUAGGGAGCAAACUGUUCUGUGCCUUCAUUUGAAAUGCACUCAUUUCCUCGAGUAUGUUACCUUGUAUGUGGCCUGUGAUUGCUUCAUCUCUGUUCAUCUCUCAGACUAUUAGUGUCUGUACAAUCAACAAGCAUACAGUUAGCAGAGUGGCAUGGUUAGGAUGGUAUUUUACAGAUUGCAUAAUUAGAAAAAUUAUCACAGUGAAAAGAGAUAAUCGAAGGUAAAUGAAAUGCUCACCCAUGUCUUAGGCUCACAGUAAAAACCAAAACUCCAAAGGGAGCAAUCUCCAGAAAGAGAUCCUUCCCUAGUGGCAGUCACUCCUUAAAUGGGGUCUAGGAAAGGAGCAGCCAGGCUCCACCCCUUC